UAAGCGGAGGAAAAGAAACUAACAAGGAUUCCCCUAGUAACUGCGAGUGAAGCGGGAAAAGCUCAAAUUUAAAAUCUGGUGGCCUUUGUCCAUCCGAGUUGUAAUUUAGAGAAGCGUCUUCCGCGCUGGACCGUGCACAAGUCUCCUGGAAUGGAGCGUCAUAGAGGGUGAGAAUCCCGUCUUUGGCACGGACACACCAGGGCUUUUGUGAUGCGCUCUCAAAGAGUCGAGUUGUUUGGGAAUGCAGCUCAAAAUGGGUGGUGAACUCCAUCUAAAGCUAAAUAUUGGCGAGAGACCGAUAGCGAACAAGUACCGUGAGGGAAAGAUGAAAAGCACUUUGGAAAGAGAGUGAAACAGUACGUGAAAUUGUUGAAAGGGAAACGCUUGAAGUCAGUCGCGUCGCCCGAGACUCAGCCUUGCCUCGGCUUGGUGUACUUCUCGGCUGACGGGUCAGCAUCAAUUUUGCCCCUUGGAUAAUGGCGAGGGAAAUGUGACACCUUUACGGGUGUGUUAUAGUCUCUCGUCGCAUGCAAGGGUCGGGAUUGAGGAACUCAGCACGCGCCUUUGGGCGUCGGGGCGUUCGCCCACGAUACGUGCUUAGGAUGNUGGCGUAAUGGCUUUAAACNANC
This 629-nucleotide ribosomal RNA is filed under the name Russula sp. GAL14336. Its description in RNAcentral is "LSU rRNA". It matches the Rfam family "Eukaryotic large subunit ribosomal RNA", at positions 47 to 649 of the family's 3401-position model. The record is from RNAcentral. Lineage: Eukaryota; Fungi; Basidiomycota; Agaricomycetes; Russulales; Russulaceae.